AGUGAACGCUGGCGGUAGGCCUAACACAUGCAAGUCGAACGGCAGCACAGUAAGAGCUUGCUCUUACGGGUGGCGAGUGGCGGACGGGUGAGGAAUUCAUCGGAAUCUACUUUUUCGUGGGGGAUAACGUAGGGAAACUUACGCUAAUACCGCAUACGACCUACGGGUGAAAGCAGGGGAUCUUCGGACCUUGCGCGAUUGAAUGAGCCGAUGUCGGAUUAGCUAGUUGGCGGGGUAAAGGCCCACCAAGGCGACGAUCCGUAGCUGGUCUGAGAGGAUGAUCAGCCACACUGGAACUGAGACACGGUCCAGACUCCUACGGGAGGCAGCAGUGGGGAAUAUUGGACAAUGGGCGCAAGCCUGAUCCAGCCAUACCGCGUGGGUGAAGAAGGCCCUCGGGUUGUAAAGCCCUUUUGUUGGGAAAGAAAAGCAGCAGGUUAAUACCCCGCUGUUCUGACGGUACCAAAAGAAUAAGCACCGGCUAACUUCGUG
RNAcentral lists this ribosomal RNA (492 nucleotides) under uncultured bacterium. RNAcentral describes it as "partial 16S ribosomal RNA". It matches the Rfam family "Bacterial small subunit ribosomal RNA", at positions 29 to 507 of the family's 1533-position model. The record is from RNAcentral.